This 467-nucleotide ribosomal RNA is filed under the name uncultured bacterium. RNAcentral's name for it is "partial 16S ribosomal RNA". It matches the Rfam family "Bacterial small subunit ribosomal RNA", at positions 28 to 506 of the family's 1533-position model. The record is from RNAcentral.
GACGAACGCUGGCGGCGUGCUUAACACAUGCAAGUCGAACGGAAAGGCCCUGCUUUUGUGGGGUGCUCGAGUGGCGAACGGGUGAGUAACACGUGAGUAAUCUGCCCUUGACUUUGGGAUAACUUCAGGAAACUGGGGCUAAUACCGGAUAGGAGCUCCUGCUGCAUGGUGGGGGUUGGAAAGUUUCGGCGGUUGGGGAUGGACUCGCGGCUUAUCAGCUUGUUGGUGGGGUAGUGGCUUACCAAGGCUUUGACGGGUAGCCGGCCUGAGAGGGUGACCGGCCACAUUGGGACUGAGAUACGGCCCAGACUCCUACGGGAGGCAGCAGUGGGGAAUAUUGCACAAUGGGCGGAAGCCUGAUGCAGCAACGCCGCGUGCGGGAGGACGGCCUUCGGGUUGUAAACCGCUUUCGCCUGUGACGAAGCGUGAGUGACGGUAAUGGGUAAAGAAGCACCGGCUAACUACGU